GGGUUGUGAGGUUAAGCGACUAAGCGUACACGGUGGAUGCCCUGGCAGUCAGAGGCGAUGAAGGACGUGCUAAUCUGCGAUAAGCGUCGGUAAGGUGAUAUGAACCGUUAUAACCGGCGAUUUCCGAAUGGGGAAACCCAGUGUGUUUCGACACACUAUCAUUAACUGAAUCCAUAGGUUAAUGAGGCGAACCGGGGGAACUGAAACAUCUAAGUACCCCGAGGAAAAGAAAUCAACCGAGAUUCCCCCAGUAGCGGCGAGCGAACGGGGAGCAGCCCAGAGCCUGAAUCAGUAUGUGUGUUAGUGGAAGCGUCUGGAAAGGCGCGCGAUACAGGGUGACAGCCCCGUACACAAAAAUGCACAUAUUGUGAGCUCGAUGAGUAGGGCGGGACACGUGGUAUCCUGUCUGAAUAUGGGGGGACCAUCCUCCAAGGCUAAAUACUCCUGACUGACCGAUAGUGAACCAGUACCGUGAGGGAAAGGCGAAAAGAACCCCGGCGAGGGGAGUGAAAAAGAACCUGAAACCGUGUACGUACAAGCAGUGGGAGCACGCUUAGGCGUGUGACUGCGUACCUUUUGUAUAAUGGGUCAGCGACUUAUAUUCUGUAGCAAGGUUAACCGAAUAGGGGAGCCGAAGGGAAACCGAGUCUUAACUGGGCGUUAAGUUGCAGGGUAUAGACCCGAAACCCGGUGAUCUAGCCAUGGGCAGGUUGAAGGUUGGGUAACACUAACUGGAGGACCGAACCGACUAAUGUUGAAAAAUUAGCGGAUGACUUGUGGCUGGGGGUGAAAGGCCAAUCAAACCGGGAGAUAGCUGGUUCUCCCCGAAAGCUAUUUAGGUAGCGCCUCGUGAAUUCAUCUCCGGGGGUAGAGCACUGUUUCGGCAAGGGGGUCAUCCCGACUUACCAACCCGAUGCAAACUGCGAAUACCGGAGAAUGUUAUCACGGGAGACACACGGCGGGUGCUAACGUCCGUCGUGAAGAGGGAAACAACCCAGACCGCCAGCUAAGGUCCCAAAGUCAUGGUUAAGUGGGAAACGAUGUGGGAAGGCCCAGACAGCCAGGAUGUUGGCUUAGAAGCAGCCAUCAUUUAAAGAAAGCGUAAUAGCUCACUGGUCGAGUCGGCCUGCGCGGAAGAUGUAACGGGGCUAAACCAUGCACCGAAGCUGCGGCAGCGACGCUGAUGCGUUGUUGGGUAGGGGAGCGUUCUGUAAGCCUGCGAAGGUGUGCUGUGAGGCAUGCUGGAGGUAUCAGAAGUGCGAAUGCUGACAUAAGUAACGAUAAAGCGGGUGAAAAGCCCGCUCGCCGGAAGACCAAGGGUUCCUGUCCAACGUUAAUCGGGGCAGGGUGAGUCGACCCCUAAGGCGAGGCCGAAAGGCGUAGUCGAUGGGAAACAGGUUAAUAUUCCUGUACUUGGUGUUACUGCGAAGGGGGGACGGAGAAGGCUAUGUUGGCCGGGCGACGGUUGUCCCGGUUUAAGCGUGUAGGCUGGUUUUCCAGGCAAAUCCGGAAAAUCAAGGCUGAGGCGUGAUGACGAGGCACUACGGUGCUGAAGCAACAAAUGCCCUGCUUCCAGGAAAAGCCUCUAAGCAUCAGGUAACAUCAAAUCGUACCCCAAACCGACACAGGUGGUCAGGUAGAGAAUACCAAGGCGCUUGAGAGAACUCGGGUGAAGGAACUAGGCAAAAUGGUGCCGUAACUUCGGGAGAAGGCACGCUGAUAUGUAGGUGAAGUCCCUCGCGGAUGGAGCUGAAAUCAGUCGAAGAUACCAGCUGGCUGCAACUGUUUAUUAAAAACACAGCACUGUGCAAACACGAAAGUGGACGUAUACGGUGUGACGCCUGCCCGGUGCCGGAAGGUUAAUUGAUGGGGUUAGCCGCAAGGCGAAGCUCUUGAUCGAAGCCCCGGUAAACGGCGGCCGUAACUAUAACGGUCCUAAGGUAGCGAAAUUCCUUGUCGGGUAAGUUCCGACCUGCACGAAUGGCGUAAUGAUGGCCAGGCUGUCUCCACCCGAGACUCAGUGAAAUUGAACUCGCUGUGAAGAUGCAGUGUACCCGCGGCAAGACGGAAAGACCCCGUGAACCUUUACUAUAGCUUGACACUGAACAUUGAGCCUUGAUGUGUAGGAUAGGUGGGAGGCUUAGAAGUGUGGACGCCAGUCUGCAUGGAGCCGACCUUGAAAUACCACCCUUUAAUGUUUGAUGUUCUAACGUUGACCCGUAAUCCGGGUUGCGGACAGUGUCUGGUGGGUAGUUUGACUGGGGCGGUCUCCUCCUAAAGAGUAACGGAGGAGCACGAAGGUUGGCUAAUCCUGGUCGGACAUCAGGAGGUUAGUGCAAUGGCAUAAGCCAGCUUGACUGCGAGCGUGACGGCGCGAGCAGGUGCGAAAGCAGGUCAUAGUGAUCCGGUGGUUCUGAAUGGAAGGGCCAUCGCUCAACGGAUAAAAGGUACUCCGGGGAUAACAGGCUGAUACCGCCCAAGAGUUCAUAUCGACGGCGGUGUUUGGCACCUCGAUGUCGGCUCAUCACAUCCUGGGGCUGAAGUAGGUCCCAAGGGUAUGGCUGUUCGCCAUUUAAAGUGGUACGCGAGCUGGGUUUAGAACGUCGUGAGACAGUUCGGUCCCUAUCUGCCGUGGGCGCUGGAGAACUGAGGGGGGCUGCUCCUAGUACGAGAGGACCGGAGUGGACGCAUCACUGGUGUUCGGGUUGUCAUGCCAAUGGCACUGCCCGGUAGCUAAAUGCGGAAGAGAUAAGUGCUGAAAGCAUCUAAGCACGAAACUUGCCCCGAGAUGAGUUCUCCCUGACUCCUUGAGAGUCCUGAAGGAACGUUGAAGACGACGACGUUGAUAGGCCGGGUGUGUAAGCGCAGCGAUGCGUUGAGCUAACCGGUACUAAUGAACCGUGAGGCUUAACCUUACAACGCCGAAGGUGUUU
RNAcentral lists this ribosomal RNA (2933 nucleotides) under Escherichia coli. Its description in RNAcentral is "23S ribosomal RNA". It matches the Rfam family "Bacterial large subunit ribosomal RNA". The record is from RNAcentral. Lineage: Bacteria; Pseudomonadati; Pseudomonadota; Gammaproteobacteria; Enterobacterales; Enterobacteriaceae.